This 486-nucleotide long non-coding RNA is filed under the name Felis catus (domestic cat). RNAcentral describes it as "lncRNA (ENSFCAG00000053593.1)". Lineage: Eukaryota; Metazoa; Chordata; Mammalia; Carnivora; Felidae. The record is from RNAcentral.
AUGCUUGAGUCCUUGAUAGUUUACAAUUUACAGUUCUUACUAUGUCGUGACUCUGUGGUGGGAUCACAAACUGAACUGAGUGGGUUCUCCUGGCUCCUGCACCUGGGUGGACCCAGCUGUUGCAGCUGCCUGUGGACAGGCCAGGGGUGGGAGUGGGGGAGGGCAGUUGGUAGGCACUUCAGGUGGAUGAUUUGGUUCAUGACUUGUGCUUUUUCUUGUUUUGCCUGCAGAUGGCAGCACGCCCUGGACUUGUCUGCACCGCAAGCGGCCCUGAGGAGGGACAGCAGGGAGACAAGAAAAUGGACUCCCCUCUGCAACCUGCAAUGUACCAGGGUUUGCAGCCUAUUGGAGGAAAACAACAUCAAGGUCCCGGUUGUUGCUUCUUUCAUCUGUAAUGAUCUCGUCUGUCCUCUGUUGCCCACCUUGCGGCCCUGCUCCAGGACCUUCCCUGGCCACCCCACCCCUAUGGGCCCCUCACUCUUCUGA